RNAcentral lists this ribosomal RNA (350 nucleotides) under uncultured Cortinarius. RNAcentral's name for it is "eukaryotic LSU rRNA". The stretch from base 1 to 123 matches the Rfam family "5.8S ribosomal RNA", at positions 32 to 154 of the family's 154-position model. The record is from RNAcentral. Lineage: Eukaryota; Fungi; Basidiomycota; Agaricomycetes; Agaricales; Cortinariaceae.
AUCGAUGAAGAACGCAGCGAAAUGCGAUAAGUAAUGUGAAUUGCAGAAUUCAGUGAAUCAUCGAAUCUUUGAACGCACCUUGCGCUCCUUGGUAUUCCGAGGAGCAUGCCUGUUUGAGUGUCAUUAAUAUAUCAACCUUCUCUUGUUGAGUGGUUUGGAUGUGGGGGUUUGCUGGCCUUGUAAAGGGUUUCAGCUCCCCUGAAAUGCAUUAGCAGAACAACCUGUUCAUUGGUGUGAUAACUAUCUACGCUAUUGAAUGUGAAGGGCCGUUCAGCUUUCUAACAGUCCUUGAUUGGACAAUUUAUCAUUAAUGUGACCUCAAAUCAGGUAGGACUACCCGCUGAACUUAA